RNAcentral lists this ribosomal RNA (253 nucleotides) under uncultured bacterium. Its description in RNAcentral is "partial 16S ribosomal RNA". It matches the Rfam family "Bacterial small subunit ribosomal RNA", at positions 524 to 776 of the family's 1533-position model. The record is from RNAcentral.
GACGAAGGGGGCUAGCGUUGUUCGGAAUUACUGGGCGUAAAGCGAGUGUAGGUGGUUGUCCAAGUUGGAUGUGAAAGCCUUGAGCUCAACUCAAGAAAUGCAUUCAGGACUGGGCGGCUAGAGGACCGGAGAGGAUAGUGGAAUUCCCAGUGUAGUGGUGAAAUACGUAGAGAUUGGGAAGAACACCAGUGGCGAAGGCGGCUAUCUGGGCGGUUUCUGACACUAAGACUCGAAAGCGUGGGGAGCAAACAGG